Molecule: ribosomal RNA, 178 nt
Filed under: Phytophthora cinnamomi
Lineage: Eukaryota; Oomycota; Peronosporomycetes; Peronosporales; Peronosporaceae
Description: partial 28S ribosomal RNA
Source: RNAcentral
AUUGGAUGUUCUUCCUGCUGUGGCGGUACGGAUCGGUGAACCGUAGCUGUGCUAGGCUUGGCGUUUGAACCGGCGGUGUUGUUGCGAAGUAGGGUGGCGGCUUCGGCUGUCGAGGGUCGAUCCAUUUGGGAACUCUGUGUCUCUGCGGCGCACUUGUGUGCUUGUGGUGGCAUCUCAA